Molecule: ribosomal RNA, 301 nt
Filed under: uncultured bacterium
Lineage: Bacteria
Description: partial 16S ribosomal RNA
Rfam family: Bacterial small subunit ribosomal RNA
Source: RNAcentral
CAGUCGCCGCGGGAAUACGUAGGUGGCAAGCGUUGUCCGGAAUUAUUGGGCGUAAAGGGCUCGCAGGCGGUUUCUUAAGUCCGAUGUGAAAGCCCCCGGCUCAACCGGGGAGGGUCAUUGGAAACUGGGAAACUUGAGUGCAGAAGAGGAGAGUGGAAUUCCACGUGUAGCGGUGAAAUGCGUAGAGAUGUGGAGGAACACCAGUGGCGAAGGCGACUCUCUGGUCUGUAACUGACGCUGAGGAGCGAAAGCGUGGGGAGCGAACAGGAUUAGAUACCCCGGUAGUCCCUGUCUCUUAUAC